This 52-nucleotide microRNA precursor is filed under the name Myotis davidii. RNAcentral's name for it is "mir-1302 microRNA precursor family". It matches the Rfam family "mir-1302 microRNA precursor family". The record is from Rfam by way of RNAcentral. Lineage: Eukaryota; Metazoa; Chordata; Mammalia; Chiroptera; Vespertilionidae.
UUUUUAGUAAAAGUAUGUCCCAUGCAAUAUUUGGGACAUACUUAAACAAAAA